RNAcentral lists this long non-coding RNA (852 nucleotides) under Coturnix japonica (Japanese quail). RNAcentral describes it as "lncRNA (ENSCJPG00005006433.1)". Lineage: Eukaryota; Metazoa; Chordata; Aves; Galliformes; Phasianidae. The record is from RNAcentral.
AUGAACCAAUCAGCGUGCGUCAUCAGACCGGAUCAGCCAAUCAGAGGCGGCCGUGUCCCGUGUGGGACAGGGAAGCUCCAUUCACAGCCGGGACCAUUUUGGGGCAGAAAACCCCAUUUUUGGGGCAAAAUCCGUAUUUUUGACCCCAAAAUUCCCAUUUUUGGACCCAAAUUCCCCUAUUUUGGGCCUAAAUCCCCAUUUUUUGCCCCAAAUCUCCCAUUUUUGACCCCAAAAUCCCCGUUUUUUGCCCCAAAUCUCCAUUUUAAACCCCCCAAAUCCCCAUUUUUUGCUCCCAAAAGUCCCUUUUUUGGGCCCAAAUCCUCAAUUGUAGGCCCCAAAUCUCCCAUUUUUGGCCCCAAAUCUCCAUUUUUAUCCCCCAAAAUCCCCAUUUCUGACCCCAAACCCCCCAUUUUUUGUCCCAAAAUCCCCAUUUUUGACCCCAAAUUGCCCAUUUUUAGGGCCUUUUUGCCCCAAAAAUGACACUUUUCCCUCUCCAAGCCGUUUUAUUGCAGCUCCCUUCAAUGCUUCUUACUGGCAGCCGCAACCUGCAAAAGAACCCAAAAAGACCCUAAAUGAGCCCAAAUGGACCCAAAAUGACCCUAAAUGAGCCCAAAAGGAAUCCAAAAUCCCAUAAUGACCCCAAAAAGACCCCAAAGGACCCCAAAAUAACCCCAAAAAAGCCCAAAAUGACGCCAAAAAGCCCCAAAUCUGCCCCCAAAAUAACCCUAAAGUCCCAAAAUGACCCCAAAGCCCCAAAAGACCCCAAAAUUGACCCCAAAUCCCCCAAAAUUGACCCAAAAUCCCCCAAAAUUGACCCAAAAUCCCCCAAAAUUGACCCAAAAUCCCCCAAAA